This 464-nucleotide long non-coding RNA is filed under the name Chinchilla lanigera (long-tailed chinchilla). RNAcentral's name for it is "lncRNA (ENSCLAG00000022388.1)". The record is from RNAcentral. Lineage: Eukaryota; Metazoa; Chordata; Mammalia; Rodentia; Chinchillidae.
GGAGGCGGCGGCGGGCGGCGCGGUCCGGAGCUGGACCUGGGCCCUCCGCUGCCGCACUGUGGGCGUGGAGCAGCAGCGGGCCUCUCCCUGAGUGACGGCGGGGGUCCUGAUGGACGUCGCGAAGCAACGCACUUAGAAAAAAGAAAAGACGGCCCCUGCAGGCCUGCCUGGUGCCCCGGCGCUGAGCGUGUUUGCCGCCCUCACGCCCGUUCCUUUUUUUGGAAGAACUUUCUUUUAUGGUAUACCUAGAAGUGUGCUCUACCUACCCCGGGACCAGUCCCAAAGCCAAUCAAGGUGCACCUCCGCCCUAACUAGCACACUUAGGUAAAACAAAAAAUUGUGUCUUUAAAACUAUUAAUUCACUGACCAUUUAAAAGGACGAUCUCUUCGUAUCAUUGAUUUUCGCUGUAGUUUAUGUGUUUUCUACUCUCUUGUUCAUCAUUAAGUAUGCUACUAGAUGAUUU